RNAcentral lists this long non-coding RNA (943 nucleotides) under Homo sapiens (human). RNAcentral's name for it is "HSALNT0208383". The record is from RNAcentral. Lineage: Eukaryota; Metazoa; Chordata; Mammalia; Primates; Hominidae.
CUGGCAGCCACCCAUGAUGUAAUCCAGGAAGGUGUGCACCUUCUCCACCUGGAGAGCCUCCCAGAGCAAGACCCCCAUGGUUCCGUCCUUCAGCUGAGCCCAGCAAGGUGCAGAGAGGAGCCUUGUCUACAGAGGCUGCCACUGUGCCAAUGGUGACCAGAGGCUGCACCUGCCCUGGAGAAUUCGCCAGAGCCAUCCACAAAGCAUCGCUCCUGUUUGCCAACACUGGAGAAGCCGCUUUUGUUCUGUAGAAGCUUUCUUUGGAUUGGGUUGUUUGUCUCUUUUGGAUAUAGCUUUGUAAAUAUCCUUAAACAUUUUCACUGUGUUGACUUCUCACUGCCCCACCUUGGCCAUAAAUUCCCCAGCACAGGGGCCAUGGGCUUCUGUUUCUUUGGACACACCCUGGGCUUUCAGUACUGCUGCCUGAAAAGAGGCUUUCCAUACCUAUGUGCCAUGUGGCCUCUGCUCUGCGCAUGGCGCUGAAGCUUGGUUUGGUGCUUUGGGGCGGUGGUGGGGGCUUCCAGGAUCCAGGCCCUGGAGUAGAGAGAGGGGAUGAGAAAGAGAGGAGAAAGGGAAAAGGUAAAUUUGACCCCUGAGAGAGGGGUCCAAAAGGGCUUUGAAUGUGACUGUUCUUACCUGCGUCGUCUGAAGAGCGCCGUUUCUGCCAGGCCUGGGUGCUGCCCUCCUGGUCUGGGCCUGGGCCCUGAAAGAACAGUGGGUCAGGUUGUAAGAAAGUCUCCUCUGUGGCAGGACUGCAGCUGACAAAGGGCUUCUGCUCUAGCAUCUCCAUGUCAUUCUCAUGUCAUUAGUCCCUAGACACUUAAAACUGUUUCCCAAAGAGUGGCACCCAUACCUCCCCAGGGGCACAAGAAAUGGCUUACACAAAUGAGUAUACUUCCAUCUUUAUAGUUACAUAUGUAUUUUACAUGUAGUAGAAAAAAAC